AGUGAACGCUGGCGGUAGGCCUAACACAUGCAAGUCGAACGGCAGCACAGUAAGAGCUUGCUCUUACGGGUGGCGAGUGGCGGACGGGUGAGGAAUACAUCGGAAUCUACUUUUUCGUGGGGGAUAACGUAGGGAAACUUACGCUAAUACCGCAUACGACCUACGGGUGAAAGCAGGGGAUCUUCGGACCUUGCGCGAUCGAAUGAGCCGAUGUCGGAUUAGCUAGUUGGCGGGGUAAAGGCCCACCAAGGCGACGAUCCGUAGCUGGUCUGAGAGGAUGAUCAGCCACACUGGAACUGAGACACGGUCCAGACUCCUACGGGAGGCAGCAGUGGGGAAUAUUGGACAAUGGGCGCAAGCCUGAUCCAGCCAUACCGCGUGGGUGAAGAAGGCCUUCGGAUUGUAAAGCCCUUUUGUUGGGAAAGAAAAGCAGCAGGUUAAUACCCCGCUGUUCUGACGGUACCCAAAGAAUAAGCACCGGCUAACUUCGUG
Molecule: ribosomal RNA, 492 nt
Filed under: uncultured bacterium
Lineage: Bacteria
Description: partial 16S ribosomal RNA
Rfam family: Bacterial small subunit ribosomal RNA
Source: RNAcentral